CACGUGGGUAACCUGCCUGUAAGACUGGGAUAACUCCGGGAAACCGGGGCUAAUACCGGAUGCUUGAUUGAACCGCAUGGUUCAAUUAUAAAAGGUGGCUUUUAGCUACCACUUACAGAUGGACCCGCGGCGCAUUAGCUAGUUGGUGAGGUAACGGCUCACCAAGGCGACGAUGCGUAGCCGACCUGAGAGGGUGAUCGGCCACACUGGGACUGAGACACGGCCCAGACUCCUACGGGAGGCAGCAGUAGGGAAUCUUCCGCAAUGGACGAAAGUCUGACGGAGCAACGCCGCGUGAGUGAUGAAGGUUUUCGGAUCGUAAAACUCUGUUGUUAGGGAAGAACAAGUACCGUUCGAAUAGGGCGGUACCUUGACGGUACCUAACCAGAAAGCCACGGCUAACUACGUGCCAGCAGCCGCGGUAAUACGUAGGUGGCAAGCGUUGUCCGGAAUUAUUGGGCGUAAAGCGCGCGCAGGCGGUUUCUUAAGUCUGAUGUGAAAGCCCCCGGCUCAACCGGGGAGGGUCAUUGGAAACUGGGGAACUUGAGUGCAGAAGAGGAGAGUGGAAUUCCACGUGUAGCGGUGAAAUGCGUAGAGAUGUGGAGGAACACCAGUGGCGAAGGCGACUCUCUGGUCUGUAACUGACGCUGAGGCGCGAAAGCGUGGGGAGCGAACAGGAUUAGAUAC
This 687-nucleotide ribosomal RNA is filed under the name Bacillus sp. (in: firmicutes). RNAcentral describes it as "bacterial SSU rRNA". It matches the Rfam family "Bacterial small subunit ribosomal RNA", at positions 114 to 785 of the family's 1533-position model. Lineage: Bacteria; Bacillati; Bacillota; Bacilli; Caryophanales; Bacillaceae. The record is from RNAcentral.